Topomyia yanbarensis is the source of this 2040-nucleotide long non-coding RNA. RefSeq lists it as uncharacterized. The transcript has 4 exons. Lineage: Eukaryota; Metazoa; Arthropoda; Insecta; Diptera; Culicidae. The record is from RefSeq and is a predicted model, not a curated record.
AUAUUGCAGUUGUUGUUUUUUGUUUUAGCUGUUUCAACUAAAAAUGGCUAAUACAACUAUUGCUGCUGUUGAUUAUCGCAUUACCAUUUGGCUGAAAAAAAUUGUUGUUUUCGGAAGCUGUCAGAUACCUGAAAAUAAAGACAGCAAAAAGGAAAACAAAAAUUGUAAGGCAAAUUCAACCAUUUAUUUAGUUGAAAAGGAUGAGUCAAUUUGCUCGCCACGUCGGUAUACAUAAAAGCGACAGGUUUGGAAGAUAAAAUUAAUACGUUAAUUACUUGAGUAGCAUUAAGAUAAGUUUUCCAAUAUUAUUUCCGAUGAGUGAAAUUGGUACGCUAUAUGUGAAUUUAUUUUGGUUUGUUUUCAGUUAGCAAAACAUAAUUUUCAUCAUCGACUGAGAGAAAACCUUUUUGAAAUCUAAUCAUAGAAAUUGAACAGUUAGGUAUUUUUAUGUGUAUAUCUCAAGCAAGAAUUGGUUUCAAAUUGUGCCGGAAUUGUGGUGAAAACCACAAAAAGCAAGUGAUAUUUUAUAUUUGUGUAUAAAUACUGCCCUACGAUUACUAAUCUUCAUUUUAGGAAAAGCUGAGUUUCGAAAAAAAAUACCAACACAUUAUAUUGCAGAGCGGUAAUAAUAAACUCGGAACGUGUUUUAGCCGAACCGUAUACUGGAACGUCACAUGUUAAAAAUCCUAAUGAGAACAUGUUUAUAGAGGUUCUUCUCUAAGUUAUUAAAUUUAAAUAUUCCGAAUCCUGGCCGUUGAAGACAAAUGAAGACAUUGGUUAUGAAAUGUGAAGACAUUUGAAAAUUAUACCUGGUAUCCCUGGUUUGAGAGCCAACAUUGAUAUUAUAUGAAACCAUCUGACAACACUGUAUGGCGGGCCGCGCCGCGCUGCCAUAACGUCGACUUUGGAUCUUCGAAGUUCAGGAAUGUAAUUAUAACCAUGGAACAAUAUGUGGUGCUUUGGUGAUACCGGUAGAGCUAGCACCGAAGGUUGGUAGGAUAUUUAUUAACCAUUGCUGCGGACGGAACUUCAACGACCAUUUUCAGCAGAUGGAAAUUUUGCUCGUGACUAUCAACCCAACUGAAUAACGGCCGUGGAGUUUCUGAACGAAGGUGUCUGCCUCGAAGCGGAUGCUAGUAAUAAUCUGUAGUUUCAUGCAUCGCAAUGACCAUUAUGAUGACCUUCAGCAACGUCUUCGUAAUUUCGAUACUAUCCCGGUAAUGCAAAAAAACUGACGAAGGACAGUAGAUAUUCUAUGGACGGGUAUGUAUCGGUAGGGGGGUUUCAUUGGAUGGGUUCAUGUAUAAUAUUCUGGCGGUUCAAAGGCCCUUAAUAUAAUAGUUAGGUUGAUGGGCUGACGGUAUUGCCACAGAUAACAGAUUGUAAAUCAAUGUUUCACUAUUGUCAUCUAUGCAACUGUUUGCUACACGUGUUUGACAGCUGCACUUCAACUGCAUUGCAUCGAUCAUUGCGUCACCUACAAACGUUUGCUAUUGCAGUCGUCUAAUUUAUUCGUAGAGAGUAUUUACACACAUUUCGAAUCGAGCCUAAACGUCUGUAAUCUGUGGUAUUGCCAACAUCAAGUGAUCAUUAAAUUUAUCAGUCUUAAUAGACUUAGUGCAUAUAUUAUAAAUAACACUAGCGUUGUCGUAAAUCUCCGUUUAAAUCUACAGCUAGGAAAUUAGACUUACACAUUACAUUAAAAUAAUUGUUACUGUUCAUACCGAUAAAUAUCGAUUUUAUCAUUAAAGGUCGAUAUUAUAUGAAACCAUCUGACAAGACAUUUGAAAGGUAGUGAAGAAAGGUUUUUCAUUUCAAUGAUAAGGUUAUAUUUCUCUCGCGGAUUAGAAUAUAGACAAGUUCUAAAUACACGAGGGCCUUACAGUAGGUAUGCAUUUUAAUAAAGAAAUUUUAGCAGUUUGUCAAACCUGGUCAGCAAAUAGCAUUAAAAGAAUAACAUCGUUUGCUAGUUUCAAAUAUAUUUAAUUCUUUAAUCAAAAAUACCAUUAGUUGUAACAACACGCUUAUAGUACAUAUUUA